Non-coding RNA from Paramuricea clavata, 1383 nucleotides. The record is from the annotation of a GenBank genome assembly. Lineage: Eukaryota; Metazoa; Cnidaria; Anthozoa; Malacalcyonacea; Plexauridae.
GCAAGAAAAUAUGCGGAGCUAGUCUGCUGCGCUUUUUUAGUGGAAAUGUUCCCAGCUUCACUUCGCUUGAGACGAAAGGCACAGGUUUCGCAACAAAAUGUGAAAAUCUAUUCGCUUGUAUUCAGUAUUUUAGCAUGUGAUUGGCAGCUGCAGAAAAAGUCUUAUGGCCGAUUAUUUGCCGAUUAUCAGGCAAUAAUCGGCCGAUUACGGAUUAUUUAAAAAACGGCCGAUUAAUCGGCCGAUUAUUUACCGAUUAAUCGGCUCAUCCACUAUUUGACUAUUUGCCACUGAUUACAGAAGAUAAAUAAUUAAUGAAAUAAUUGUACUCCUCUCAACCAAUCAGCAUCCAGUAAUUUUGUCGUGCUAAUAAUAAUGACUGUAAUACGACAAUCCCGAAAUAAUUUUGUAAUCCAUUUCCUAAUGUUAGGUUGGGAUGAUGAAGAGGGCUUGCUUGCAGCGGUUCUGGCCGAGUCACAGAAAGAAUAUUUAGACAGUUUAAAACGAAACAUGAAAGACCAUCAUGACAGCAGUAACAAAGGGCCCUCACCCAAGAACUGAUGUAACGCAACAAGGCCUAGAACUUAAUCUGUUCUGGCCAAGAUUGCCGAGUCGGGCACUGCUUGCUAGGCCUGCGAAAUUGAACCGCGUAAAAGCAAUGAUUUUGGCCGAUAAUGGUUUUAAUUCAUCUUGCGUUGUAAAUUGAACUGACCGGGUAAAAUUCUCUGUCGGGGUAAAAUUGCAGUUGGACUGAAGAUCUAAAAUAUGCAUAUCAAAUGAUCAUUUAUUUGUGUUUUGCGUAUAGUUAUUUUGCUGGUCUAAAAAUUGCUCAAAGGAUAGUUAUAUAUAUUGCAAAGUGCUCAACUCUUCAAUGGUGUAUUGAUGUUUCACAUGCAUAUUUUAAAUCCUCCGUCCUACGUGCUAUUAUUGUACAACUGCAACGUAUAUCGACGCAGAACGAUUUGCAUGCCGUGCAGUUCACCCAUAAUUAUAAUGGAGGGUUCUGUAAGCGACUGAGCCCGCGAUAUGAUUACGUCACAAAAUUAGGUCAGCGGUCACGUUCACCAAAACCUCGUCUUGGGACUCGUUUCAGUCCCUCGGCGAAAACGCGGUGCGCAAAGCGCAGAGUUUCGAGACGGCCUAGCCGGUGCUUGCGAAUUGAGAGUACGUAUAUAUGAACAGUAUAUAUGUGAUUUGUACUCAAUGACAAUGUGUAUAACAUUUGUGCUUUAAAUUUGUAUCUCGUGUAGAUAGCUAAUAGCAAUAUGAAAUUGUGUAUAAAGAUAUAUUGAUGACAAUAUUAAUCGUAUGUAGUUUUAGUUGGGUUCGUUUGUAAUCAUUUCAAUUGGAGUGGGUAGAAAUAUUUAAGAAACGUUUCUGAGAGUG